GCAAAGCACUCCUACGGGAGGCAGCAGUGGGGAAUAUUGCUACAAUGGGCGCAAGCCUGAUGCAGCCAUGCCGCGUGUAUGAAGAAGGCCUUCGGGUUGUAAAGUACUUUCAGCAGUGAGGAAGGUGGGUAUGUUAAUAGCAUAUUCAUUUGACGUUAGCUGCAGAAGAAGCACCGGCUAACUCCGUGCCAGCAGCCGCGGUAAUACGGAGGGUGCGAGCGUUAAUCGGAAUUACUGGGCGUAAAAGCGCAUGCAGGUGGUUUGUUAAGUCAGAUGUGAAAGCCCGGGGCUCAACCUCGGAAUUGCAUUUGAAACUGGCAAACUAGAGUACUGUAGAGGGGGUAGAAUUUCAGGUGUAGCGGUGAAAUGCGUAGAGAUCUGAAGGAAUACCGGUGGCGAAGGCGGCCCCCUGGACAGAUACUGACACUCAGAUGCGAAAGCGUGGGGAGCAAACAGGAUUAGAUACCCUCGUAG
RNAcentral lists this ribosomal RNA (474 nucleotides) under uncultured bacterium. RNAcentral describes it as "bacterial SSU rRNA". It matches the Rfam family "Bacterial small subunit ribosomal RNA", at positions 328 to 793 of the family's 1533-position model. The record is from RNAcentral.